GACAGAGGUGCCGAGCGUUAGGCGGAAUCACUGGGCUUAAAGCGUGUGUAGGCGGGCGGGCAAGUACCUUGUGAAAUCCCACGGCUCAACCGUGGAACGGCUGGGUAUACUGCCUGUCUUGAGCCAACUAGGGGCGAGCGGAACAGGCGGUGGAGCGGUGAAAUGCGUAGAUAUCGUCUGGAACGCCGAAGGUGAAAACAGCUCGCUGGGGUUGUGCUGACGCUGAGACACGAAAGCCAGGGGAGCGAACGGG
Molecule: ribosomal RNA, 253 nt
Filed under: uncultured bacterium
Lineage: Bacteria
Description: partial 16S ribosomal RNA
Rfam family: Bacterial small subunit ribosomal RNA
Source: RNAcentral